UCGAACGCGAAAGUCCCGCAAGGGAUAAGUAGAGUGGCAAACGGGUGAGUAACACGUGGGUGACCUGCCUUCGAGCGGGGGAUAACGUCCCGAAAGGGACGCUAAUACCGCAUAACAUCCUGCCUUUUAAGAGGUGGAGAUCAAAGCCGGGGACCGCAAGGCCUGGCACUUGAAGAGGGGCCCGCGUCUGAUUAGCUAGUUGGUGGGGUAAUGGCCUACCAAGGCAACGAUCAGUAUCCGGCCUGAGAGGGCGGACGGACACACUGGGACUGAGACACGGCCCAGACUCCUACGGGAGGCAGCAGUGGGGAAUUGUUCGCAAUGGGCGCAAGCCUGACGACGCAACGCCGCGUGGAGGAUGAAGACCUUCGGGUCGUAAACUCCUUUCGAUCGAGACGAAUGUUUUCCGGGUGAACAAUCCGGGAAAGUGACGGUACCGAGAGAAGAAGCCCCGGCUAACUCUGUGCCAGCAGCCGCGGUAAUACAGGGGGGGCAAGCGUUGUUCGGAAUUACUGGGCGUAAAGGGCUCGUAGGUGGCCAACUAAGUCAGACGUGAAAUCCCUCAGCUUAACUGGGGAACUGCGUCUGAUACUGGAUGGCUUGAGAUUGGGAGAGGGAUGCGGAAUUCCAGGUGUAGCGGUGAAAUGCGUAGAUAUCUGGAGGAACACCGGUGGCGAAGGCGGCAUCCUGGACCAACACUGACACUGAGGAGCGAAAGCCAGGGG
This 725-nucleotide ribosomal RNA is filed under the name uncultured bacterium. RNAcentral's name for it is "bacterial SSU rRNA". It matches the Rfam family "Bacterial small subunit ribosomal RNA", at positions 62 to 766 of the family's 1533-position model. The record is from RNAcentral.